AUUGAACGCUGGCGGCGCGCCUAAUACAUGCAAGUCGAGCGAGAAGACGUAGCAAUACGUUUGUAAAGCGGCGAACGGGUGAGGAAUACAUGGGUAACCUACCCUCGAGUGGGGAAUAACUAGCCGAAAGGUUAGCUAAUACCGCGUACGCUUCUUGGACUUCGGUUCAGGGAGGAAAGCGAUGCCGAGGGUAUCGCGCUCUUGGAUGGGCUCAUGUCCUAUCAGCUUGUUGGGAGGUAACGGCUCACCAAGGCUUCGACGGGUAGCUGGUCUGAGAGGACGAUCAGCCACACUGGCACUGCGACACGGGCCAGACUCCUACGGGAGGCAGCAGUAAGGAAUAUUGCGCAAUGGGCGAAAGCCUGACGCAGCGACGCCGCGUGGGGGA
This 388-nucleotide ribosomal RNA is filed under the name uncultured bacterium. RNAcentral describes it as "bacterial SSU rRNA". It matches the Rfam family "Bacterial small subunit ribosomal RNA", at positions 30 to 408 of the family's 1533-position model. The record is from RNAcentral.